GACGAACUGUCCAAACGUUGUUCGGAAUCAUUGGGCGUAAAGCGCACGUAGGCGGUCCGGCAAGUCGGGUGUGAAAGCCCUCGGCUUAACCGAGGAAGUGCAUUCGAAACUACCGGACUUGAAUACUGGCGGUCUCGAGGGAGGUAGGGGCGUGCGGAACUAACGGUGGAGCGGUGAAAUGCGUUGAUAUCGUUAGGAACUCCGGUGGCGAAGGCGGCACGCUGGACCUUUACUGACGCUGAGGCACGAAAGCCAGGGGAGCGAACGGG
Molecule: ribosomal RNA, 269 nt
Filed under: uncultured bacterium
Lineage: Bacteria
Description: partial 16S ribosomal RNA
Rfam family: Bacterial small subunit ribosomal RNA
Source: RNAcentral